AUAUUGUAAUACAUUCCAUUCAGUGUAAAUAUGACAAAGAUUUGGUGUAAAUAUAAUACGUCUUUAUCAAAAAUGCUUCUCAGUUUCAUUUCAAUCUGUAGUUUCAUUUUCAUAAUUUGCUUUCGCUAAGGCAUAGAUAAGGAGGAGCAGCAGAUGCAUUCUCGUAAAGAGGGUGCGGGAGAGAGAGGGAACGAUAUAUUGAAGUGAGAAACUUCUAUCAGUUUGGUAGUGCAUUGCUGUGAAAGGGGAGAGUGACAGCGAGCACAUGUCGACUGCAUUCCGAUGUCAUAACCCAUACACGCUCAGACACCCAUGUGAGAUUGAGUGUGCAGUGAAGACUACACCAUAAUCACUCCAGUCUUCAAGAAGGAGAGAUGUGUGGAGAACAAGAUGUUGGACACUAAUGGGAGAUGCUCCUACACCUGACAGCAUCACACUGCUCAUUGCAUCAUGACCAGCAGUAGCAGCAGCAAAAAUGAACCGAGAUAGUGAAUACAGAGCACAGGCUGUAAAUUCUCAAGCAAUUCGCCAUCACAUUACAUUCGAAAACGAUGAGACAGACAUUGAAUCCAUACUCAAACACUCAAAAACAUGUGUUUUUGAGAUAAUUAGAGAGCACGCUGAACGUUUCAAAGGUGCAAGGGCAACUACAUGUAGCUGAGAAGAAAAUGUGUUAUUUUGUUGUAUGGACAAAGAAAGACAUUCAUAUUGAAAAGAUCGAGAGGGAUGACAGGUUUUGGACCGAGAAAAUGGAGAAAAA
Long non-coding RNA from Nilaparvata lugens (brown planthopper), 760 nucleotides. RefSeq lists it as uncharacterized. The transcript has 4 exons. Lineage: Eukaryota; Metazoa; Arthropoda; Insecta; Hemiptera; Delphacidae. The record is from RefSeq and is a predicted model, not a curated record.